GCUCCAAUAGCGUAUAUUAAAGUUGUUGCAGUUAAAAAGCUCGUAGUUGGACUUCUGUCGUGCCGGUGCGGUCCACCUCGCGGUGAGCACUGCAUUGGGGCGACAUCCUCUCGGAGUUGUGCGGUGCCAUUAACUUGGUGCUGUACGAACCGAGACCUUUACUUUGAAAAAAUUAGAGUGUUCAAGCAGGCCUACGCUUG
RNAcentral lists this ribosomal RNA (200 nucleotides) under uncultured eukaryote. Its description in RNAcentral is "partial 18S ribosomal RNA". It matches the Rfam family "Eukaryotic small subunit ribosomal RNA", at positions 588 to 797 of the family's 1831-position model. The record is from RNAcentral.